CAUAAUAGAAACAAUGAGUAUAGAUACGUGCCACGAUUGCUAUGUAACUAACUGUAGAUCUUGUAUGGCUUUAGAUAAUGAUCGGGAAAACACCCCCCCCCCCCCCCUUUGUACUGUAGUGGGCCAUACCUGAGUACUAUGCUGUAGUGCUUGAAAGGAACCGAAGGGGCGUGGCAUCAUGAGCUGACUGUCAGUGUUUUUUGUCCCUUAAAUCGUGCGGCAACAGCAAUAUUGAUAGAAAGAGUUAAGUGUGAAGCUUGUUGUUGAGCUGCUGCUUGUUUCAUGCAGGUUUACGGGAGAUUCAACAUGUCUGAAGCAGCAACCCCUAAGAUGGACCUGGAUUCAGAUUUCGUGUACGACUAUCAAACGCUACGUAUUGGAGGCCUGGUCUUUGCUGGGGUCAUUGUAUUUCUGUCAAUCCUCCUGCUUGCCG
Long non-coding RNA from Brienomyrus brachyistius, 433 nucleotides. RefSeq lists it as uncharacterized. NCBI's taxonomy places the organism in Eukaryota, Metazoa, Chordata, Actinopteri, Osteoglossiformes, Mormyridae. The transcript has 3 exons. The record is from RefSeq and is a predicted model, not a curated record.